This 253-nucleotide ribosomal RNA is filed under the name uncultured bacterium. RNAcentral describes it as "partial 16S ribosomal RNA". It matches the Rfam family "Bacterial small subunit ribosomal RNA", at positions 524 to 776 of the family's 1533-position model. The record is from RNAcentral.
UACGUAGGGGGCAAGCGUUGUCCGGAUUUAUUGGGCGUAAAGCGCGUGUAGGCGGCCACACAGGUCCGCUGUGAAAACUCGAGGCUCAACCUCGAGCUGUCGGUGGAAACCGUGUGGCUAGAGUCCGGAAGAGGAGACUGGAAUUCCCGGUGUAGCGGUGGAAUGCGCAGAUAUCGGGAGGAACACCCGUGGCGAAGGCGGGUCUCUGGGCAGUAACUGACGCUGAGGAGCGAAAGCGUGGGGAGCGAACAGG